Molecule: ribosomal RNA, 460 nt
Filed under: uncultured bacterium
Lineage: Bacteria
Description: partial 16S ribosomal RNA
Rfam family: Bacterial small subunit ribosomal RNA
Source: RNAcentral
CCUACGGGAGGCAGCAGUGAGGAAUAUUGGUCAAUGGCCGUAAGGCUGAACCAGCCAAGUAGCGUGAGGGAAGACUGCCCUAUGGGUUGUAAACCUCUUUUAUGCGGGGAUAAAGGUGUCCACGUGUGGAUGUUUGCAGGUACCGCAUGAAUAAGGACCGGCUAAUUCCGUGCCAGCAGCCGCGGUAAUACGGAAGGUCCGGGCGUUAUCCGGAUUUAUUGGGUUUAAAGGGAGCGUAGGCCGGUUGUUAAGCGUGCCGUGAAAUUUUGUGGCUCAACCAUGGGAGUGCGGCGCGAACUGGAGACCUUGAGUGCGCGGAAGGCAGGCGGAAUUCGUGGUGUAGCGGUGAAAUGCUUAGAUAUCACGAAGAACCCCGAUUGCGAAGGCAGCAUGCCGCAGCGUUACUGACGCUGAAGCUCGAAGGCGCGGGUAUCGAACAGGAUUAGAUACCCGUGUAGUC